AACACACUCCAUUACCAAUAUUUAUUUUGCAUUUAUCCGUUCACUGUUCAUCAAUUCAUAUAGAUAUUUGAUCUCCUCUUCCCCCCCCCCCUCCUUCAGCUUUCAUCCUGGCUGUUUCCUGCAUCAUGUUCGUGGCACGCAUGGCCCUGGUCACAUGGAAGCAUCACAAGCGGCCGCUUUAUAGUGGACACAGUUUGUCACCAGUGGAAAUAGCUUUGAAGCAAAGGAAACUCUUUCUCUGAAUAUUAGCUUAGAGUGUAUAACAAUAAAUACUAUUCAUGUGUUAAUUCUUACAUUAAUACAUUACACACCUCCUCUAAAAAUAUGAAUCUACAUCUACAACAAAUAAAUGGAAGGAAAAAAGAAGCCAAGAAUGUUUUGUUUUUUAAAGAUUUACCUUUGUCAACUCUUCCCCCCCGUUUCCAGUCUUUAUGCUAAGCUAUGCUAACUGGCCACGACCAAUACAUCGACAUUUGUUAAGAUGUGAUCAACAAAGUACACGUUUUAGGCUUUCUUUGGCGGCAAAAAAAUAUAUAUUUAAACCACAAAUGAAUCAGUUAGUCCAUAAAAUGUCAAACAAAAUGUGUGGAAAUGCAGUCCCAUCUUAAAACUGACCCAACCGAAAGUAUAAGAUCCAAAUCAUGUAAAAACGGAGAAAAGCAGAAUUUGAGAAACUGCCAUGUUUGUCUAAUGACUUAUCGAUAAGACCCUAAUUGUUUCAGCAUAAUCGCACACGUAAUCAAAGAGAUACUAUAAAAUGGAACAGUACAUGCAGCAAUCCAAAGUCCAAGAUGUUAGAUUGAGCUGACAAGUAUUGUGCCUCACAGUUUGAGCCGUCGACUCUAUGGAGAGGUUCCAGAUGUCUUCCUUCUCAGUGAAAAAGAUUGACCAUGUAGUGAUCCAUGCUGGGAGCGUUCUCCUGGCUGUCAUUGCUCAGGCAAUCGCAGAUGUCUUCUGUCACCUGGCAAAGGACAGCAACGUACCCAAUGGUCUGUUUAAGACCUCCUCCAGGAAUGUGUCUGAGACCUUCCCAUUGGAGGUGACAAUGGACUGGUGGUCUGAGACAUACUGGAUUAUAGUGGACUUGUGGUCUGUGGCUUGGC
RNAcentral lists this long non-coding RNA (1103 nucleotides) under Cottoperca gobio. RNAcentral's name for it is "lncRNA (ENSCGOG00000002492.1)". The record is from RNAcentral. Lineage: Eukaryota; Metazoa; Chordata; Actinopteri; Perciformes; Bovichtidae.